Molecule: long non-coding RNA, 238 nt
Filed under: Homo sapiens (human)
Lineage: Eukaryota; Metazoa; Chordata; Mammalia; Primates; Hominidae
Description: non-protein coding lnc-MAP1LC3B2-28:20
Source: RNAcentral
CACAGCAACUGUGGAACAGUUUUGUGAUUUAUUCAGAAAACUGGCUCCAAGAUCGCUGUGGACAAGACCCAACUUGGCUGGGAGAUUGUAAUCCCUCAGUAGAGCCACGUGGACAGUGAAGCUGGCCGAAGUUUACUCUGAGAAAGGAUCAGAGACUGAAAUUGCUCUGAUUUUCCUAAACCCAGCUUCUGUAGUCAGGAAGAGGUAACUGUCAUAUUUAAAGGCAAGUACUUUCAGG